RNAcentral lists this ribosomal RNA (397 nucleotides) under uncultured bacterium. RNAcentral describes it as "partial 16S ribosomal RNA". It matches the Rfam family "Bacterial small subunit ribosomal RNA", at positions 523 to 918 of the family's 1533-position model. The record is from RNAcentral.
AUACGUAGGGGGCGAGCGUUGUCCGGAAUGAUUGGGCGUAAAGGGCGCGUAGGCGGCCCGGUAAGUCUGGAGUGAAAGUCCUGUUUUUAAGAUGGGAAUUGCUUUGGAUACUGUCGGGCUUGAGUGCAGGAGAGGGAAGUGGAAUUCCCAGUGUAGCGGUGAAAUGCGUAGAGAUUGGGAGGAACACCAGUGGCGAAGGCGGCUUACUGGACUGUAACUGACGCUGAGGCGCGAAAGUGUGGGGAGCAAACAGGAUUAGAUACCCUGGUAGUCCACACUGUAAACGAUGAAUGCUAGGUGUAGGGGGUAUCGACCCCUUCUGUGCCGCAGUCAACACAAUAAGCAUUCCGCCUGGGGAGUACGGCCGCAAGGUUGAAACUCAAAUGAAUUGACGGGG